UUUAAUGAGGUCUUUUUCUCUCUUUUGUUGUUUUUUUGCCCUUUUUUUCCAGGGUCCUGCAGGAAGACCUGGACUUCCGGGAGCCCCAGGAGAUGCUGGAAUGUCUAUUAUUGGUCCUCGUGGUCCCCCGGGUCAGCCUGGCACAAGAGGCUUUCCUGGAUUUCCGGUGAGUGGGGAUGGUUUCUGUAAAUGCCCUUGCCCAUCCAUUUCAGCUGGGCCUCAUUGCACUGAGUCGUCCCUUACAUGGGCAUUCCCCUCUGAAGCAACAGUGGCUCUUUCGUGGAGUGCUCUACUCCUCAGCCCUUCCGAAAAUGAAGCCAGACUUGGGAUAGCUCAGAGCUGGGACUGCUUCUAGUUGUUAGAGAGAGAGAGAAAAGGGAAAG
Phascolarctos cinereus (koala) is the source of this 383-nucleotide long non-coding RNA. Lineage: Eukaryota; Metazoa; Chordata; Mammalia; Diprotodontia; Phascolarctidae. The record is from Ensembl.